Long non-coding RNA from Mustela lutreola (European mink), 654 nucleotides. RefSeq lists it as uncharacterized. The record is from RefSeq and is a predicted model, not a curated record. The transcript is spliced from 5 exons. NCBI's taxonomy places the organism in Eukaryota, Metazoa, Chordata, Mammalia, Carnivora, Mustelidae.
AUGCAGGGGCUUCCCUGGGGAUUUCCUCAGGGACAAUCCCGGGGAAGGGUGGAGACCACCUCUUCUGGAAGGAGAUGACCUCUGAGUCUGUGGUCCUAUCUCCUGGGCUCAGGAAACUGGAAGCUGAAAGAACACCCGUAUUAUAUUACACCUCAUGAUUCCUGAUGGAGGGGAAGGCUUGACAGAAUGGUCAUGAUCCCAGGGUCCUGGAAUUGAGCCCUGCAUUGGGCUUCCUGUGCAGCCAGAAGCCUGCUUCUCUUCUGCCAUUAAAAAAAAAAAAAGAAGAAGAAGAAGAAGAAGAGCACGGUCCUUCAUAACUAACUGGGGAAUUUAGCUGCCAAGAAUUCCCCUUGCCAUGACUGCAGCUCAUGGUGUAAUAUGAUCAGGACCUAAGGUCUCAUUGCAAGAGGCAGCCUGAUUUCUACCAAGAACCCUUCUAUCUCUCAGCUGAUGACCCUCUGCCUUCUGGAAGAUGUAUACGUAAUUUGACACCAGGAUUCUUCUUUUAAAAGGAAUCGCCCCUCUAAGGGAUAAAUCAAGGAGCAUCGGUAUUUGGGGAGGAUGGCAUACAGACUGAAAGGGCACGUCUCCAAGCUCUGAAAGUCUGAAUCAGGAACUGCACCCUAAGAACCUGUAAGGCUCAGAACCUGAAAC